UACGAAGGGGGCUAGCGUUGUUCGGAAUCACUGGGCUUAAAGGGCGCGUAGGCGGGCUGCCAAGUCCGGGGGUGAAAGCCCUCCGCUCAACGGAGGAAUGGCCUUGGAUACUGGCGGCCUGGAGGAAGGUAGGGGCGUGCGGAACUCUCGGUGGAGCGGUGAAAUGCGUAGAUAUCGGGAGGAACGCCGGUGGCGAAAGCGGCACGCUGGACCUUUGCUGACGCUGAUGCGCGAAAGCCAGGGGAGCAAACGGG
This 254-nucleotide ribosomal RNA is filed under the name uncultured bacterium. RNAcentral describes it as "partial 16S ribosomal RNA". It matches the Rfam family "Bacterial small subunit ribosomal RNA", at positions 524 to 776 of the family's 1533-position model. The record is from RNAcentral.